UCUGGAACUAGCUGUAGAGUUCAGCUCCAGUCUCAUUUAUUCUAAAGUUUAUUAUAAGGAUCUGGACAGAUUAUGAAAUGGAUGUUUCUCUCAGUCCUGAGAAGGAGGGAGUCCCUGAAGAAGUCCUUCAACAAACUCAGACUCAUCAGCUUUUAGCAGGAGAUGAUCUUUACAGGUGCAGAACUUCCCAAGAGUCUAACUGGACCUGAUGGACACAGUGGUCAGUAGCAGUUGGUGUGCUGUUAGACAGAGUGACCCACCAUGGACUCUGACUUCAAAGAGAUGUGACCGAUCACAAAGCAGUACAGAUAUCACCAAUGAGAUAAAAUGGAAUUUAACACAUAAAUCAUGAAGUAAAUAUGAAUAACUCAGUAAAAAGUAGAUUUCUCUACAUGAGUGGAAAUGAAAGUAUUAUAAUUUCAAAACAAAUCACCUGUAUUUUAGUACAUGGAACUGUUGAGGAAAUAUAACUAGUUAAUAUUCAUCUCUGCUCUUCACUAUACAGCAACACAAAUCCCCCACUGCUCCUGAUACUCCGGGUGUUCCCCAGGGUUCUGUUAUGGGCCCCCCUGUUUUCAUAGUUUAUAUGCAGUCCAAUAGUCAAAUUCAUGGAUUAUGUGUUCAUUGUUACAUUUCUGAUACCCAAAUCUAUAUUAACUCCCUUUCUAACUACCUGCAUCUGUGAUGUUAAGAUUUGGUUAAACUCUAAUUUACUUAAAUUCAACACAAAUAAAACUGAUGUUCUAAUUAUUACCCUAAUACUUGUAUCACCUCCCUCUCUGAAAGUAUGUUGAUAGUGAUGAGUUCAAAUAAAACCCUCACAAACUCUUCA
Molecule: long non-coding RNA, 832 nt
Organism: Pygocentrus nattereri (red-bellied piranha)
Lineage: Eukaryota; Metazoa; Chordata; Actinopteri; Characiformes; Serrasalmidae
Exons: 2
Source: RefSeq, a predicted model, not a curated record